Non-coding RNA from Mycena galopus ATCC 62051, 73 nucleotides. Lineage: Eukaryota; Fungi; Basidiomycota; Agaricomycetes; Agaricales; Mycenaceae. The record is from the annotation of a GenBank genome assembly.
GGUUCUAGCUCAGUUGUUUAGAGCAUCGUGCUAAUAACGCGAAGGUCUUGGGUUCGAGAUCCUAUUGGGAGCA